GGGUUGCGGACAGUGUCUGGUGGGUAGUUUGACUGGGGCGGUCUCCUCCUAAAGAGUAACGGAGGAGCACGAAGGUCAGCUAAUCCUGGUCGGACAUCAGGAGGUUAGUGCAAUGGCAUAAGCUGGCUUGACUGCGAGCGUGACGGCGCGAGCAGGUGCGAAAGCAGGUCAUAGUGAUCCGGUGGUUCUGAAUGGAAGGGCCAUCGCUCAACGGAUAAAAGGUACUCCGGGGAUAACAGGCUGAUACCGCCCAAGAGUUCAUAUCGACGGCGGUGUUUGGCACCUCGAUGUCGGCUCAUCACAUCCUGGGGCUGAAGUAGGUCCCAAGGGUAUGGCUGUUCGCCAUUUAAAGUGGUACGCGAGCUGGGUUUAGAACGUCGUGAGACAGUUCGGUCCCUAUCUGCCGUGGGCGCUGGAGAAUUGAGGGGGGCUGCUCCUAGUACGAGAGGACCGGAGUGGACGCAUCACUGGUGUUCGGGUUGUCAUGCCAAUGGCAUUGCCCGGUAGCUAAAUGCGGAAGAGAUAAGUGCUGAAAGCAUCUAAGUACGAAACUUGCCCCGAGAUGAGUUCUCCCUGACUCCUUGAGAGUCCUGAAGGAACGUUGAAGACGACGACGUUGAUAGGCCGGGUGUGUAAGCGCAGCGAUGCGUUGAGCUAACCGGUACUAAUGAACCGUGAGGCUUAACCUU
This 689-nucleotide ribosomal RNA is filed under the name Klebsiella pasteurii. RNAcentral's name for it is "partial 23S ribosomal RNA". It matches the Rfam family "Bacterial large subunit ribosomal RNA", at positions 2242 to 2925 of the family's 2925-position model. Lineage: Bacteria; Pseudomonadati; Pseudomonadota; Gammaproteobacteria; Enterobacterales; Enterobacteriaceae. The record is from RNAcentral. RNAcentral also lists the same sequence under 3 other names.